AGUGUUUUUGGAAUUCGGCUUAGAGUUUGAUCCUGGCUCAGGAUGAACGCUGGCGGCGUGCCUAAUACAUGCAAGUCGAACGAGGCCCUUUGUAUUCGUAUGAAGGUGUCCUAGUGGCGAACGGGUGAGUAACGCGUUGGUGACCUGCCCCGAAGUGGGGGAUAACAGUUCGAAAGGAUUGCUAAUACCCCAUGUGGUCAUUUUGAUUAGAAGCUUUAUGACUAAAGGAGUAAUUCGCUUCGGGAGGGGCCUGCGUCCCAUCAGCUUGUUGGUGAGGUAAUGGCUCACCAAGGCUUAGACGGGUAGGGGACCUGAGAGGGUGACCCCCCACAAUGGAACUGAAACACGGUCCAUACAUCUACGGAUGGCAGCAGUAGGGAAUAUUGCUUAAUGGGCGAAAGCCUGAAGCAGCAACGCCGCGUGUGCGAUGACGGCCCUCGGGUUGUAAAGCACUUUUUGAGGGGAAGAGGAAGGACGGUACCCUCAGAAUAAGCCUCGGCUAACAC
RNAcentral lists this ribosomal RNA (506 nucleotides) under uncultured bacterium. RNAcentral's name for it is "bacterial SSU rRNA". It matches the Rfam family "Bacterial small subunit ribosomal RNA", at positions 1 to 503 of the family's 1533-position model. The record is from RNAcentral.